GUCGCGUGANGGANGAAGGUCUUAUGGAUUGUAAACUUCUUUUAUAAGGNAAUAAAAAAGAUCACGUGUGNUCUAUUGCAUGUACCUUAUGAAUAAGCAUCGGCUAACUCCGUGCCAGCAGNCNCGUAAA
RNAcentral lists this ribosomal RNA (130 nucleotides) under uncultured bacterium. RNAcentral's name for it is "partial 16S ribosomal RNA". It matches the Rfam family "Bacterial small subunit ribosomal RNA", at positions 396 to 523 of the family's 1533-position model. The record is from RNAcentral.